Molecule: long non-coding RNA, 843 nt
Organism: Symphalangus syndactylus (siamang)
Lineage: Eukaryota; Metazoa; Chordata; Mammalia; Primates; Hylobatidae
Source: RefSeq, a predicted model, not a curated record
GGGGUGAAGGUGACAGGGCACAGAGCUGUGCGAAGCCCCACACUGGCAUUCACCUCAGGCUGAUGACAGUGGCAGUGUGCAGGGGCACUGCAGGAGGCCGGGGAAGGCGAGGUCACAAUAGGCACAAUAGGGAGUCGUUGCCAGGCAACCUCUCUAGGCUUCUGUUGUGAUUCUGCUUUAGUUGGGUCUUGGGGAUCUCUCUGGAGAGUGGCUAUAAAUGCUAGCCUUUGUGCUGGGCAGCAAAGCACAUCAUCGGGAAUAACCCAGGCGCCUGGCAGGGAAACCGCUGCACUACGGAGAGGACGCUUCCAGAUACAGAGGACAAAUCAAGUGAAGCGACGGAACAGGUCACACCCAAAGCGGCACAGAGAUAAAACGUGAUGUGAGGACAUGGCCCAGCCCCACCAUCGUCUUCCAGGACUCCCUGGGUGGCACCACGCUGUGGGUGCUGCUCUCCUCUGUGUCCCAAAUGACUUUGUGCCUCACUUUGUCAGGUUUUGGCUGUGACUUGAAGCCUCACCAAGCUCCCUUUUCCUCUGUCUCCCAUUCUCCUCUCCAGGCCAGGGUGGCUUCCCCAGGCCUCCUCCCCAGGUCCUGCCUGUGCGGAGCCUUCCUGCCAAGAGCGAGGUGAUGUUGACUUGAGAUCCUAUGGGUGUUUUGUUUGUGGCUGGGCCUGGCCGACCCUCUCUCCAUGGCCUUAGAUUGCACUCUGGGUGGACAGGACAGUCGUCCUCAACACUGAGCCUCUUUGGAACAUACCCACUGAUGGUGGUUCACAAGCUACCCAUGCCCACAGGCUGACCCAGAUCUCCGUGAAAUUAAAAAAUACUGUGAAAGGAAAAA